CUUGGUUAUGGGGACAUGGUUCCUAAGACGUGGCUCGGCAUGAUAGUGGGUGCGUUAUGUGCUAUAGCGGGCGUGCUUACUAUCGCCAUGCCGGUGCCUGUUAUCGUUAACAAU
Non-coding RNA from Danio rerio (zebrafish), 114 nucleotides. Lineage: Eukaryota; Metazoa; Chordata; Actinopteri; Cypriniformes; Danionidae. The record is from Rfam.